UGGGGGAUAUUGCACAAUUGGCGAAAGCCUGAUGCAGCGACGCCGCGUGGGGGAUGAAGGCUUUCGGGUUGUAAACCUCUUUCGCUAUCGAACAAGGCCCGCUUAGGGUGGGUUGAGGGUAGGUGGAGAAGAAGCGCCGGCUAACUACGUGCCAGCAGCCGCGGUAAUACGUAGGGCGCGAGCGUUGUCCGGAAUUAUUGGGCGUAAAGGGCUUGUAGGCGGCUUGUUGCGCCUGCUGUGAAAACGCGGGGCUUAACUUCGCGCGUGCAGUGGGUACGGGCAGGCUUGAGUGUGGUAGGGGUGACUGGAAUUCCAGGUGUAGCGGUGGAAUGCGCAGAUAUCUGGAGGAACACCGAUGGCGAAGGCAGGUCACUGGGCCAUUACUGACGCUGAGGAGCGAAAGCAUGGGUAGCGAACAGG
This 420-nucleotide ribosomal RNA is filed under the name bacterium. Its description in RNAcentral is "partial 16S ribosomal RNA". It matches the Rfam family "Bacterial small subunit ribosomal RNA", at positions 355 to 776 of the family's 1533-position model. The record is from RNAcentral.